Molecule: ribosomal RNA, 277 nt
Filed under: uncultured bacterium
Lineage: Bacteria
Description: partial 16S ribosomal RNA
Rfam family: Bacterial small subunit ribosomal RNA
Source: RNAcentral
GACAAACGCUGGCGGCGUACCUAAGACAUGCAAGUCGAACGGAGCUCCGUGCUUCGGCGUGGAGUUGAGUGGCGAACGGGUGAGUAACGCGUAGGAACCUGUCGUUGAGUGGGGGAUAACGCCGGGAAACUGGUGCUAAUACCGCAUACGGUUGUGAGGUGAGAGCCUCAUGAGUAAAGCAGCAAUGCGCUUGAUGAGGGGCCUGUGUCCGAUUAGCUUGUUGGUGGGGUAAAGGCCUACCAAGGCGACGAUCGGUAGCUGGUCUGAGAGGAUGGUC